AUGACAUCACCACGGCGGCAUAUAUACUAAAAUUGGAUCGAUACAGAGAAGAUUAGCAUGCCCCCUGCGAAAGGAUGACAUGCAAAUCUGUAUAAGAAAAACCACGACUGA
This is a small nuclear RNA of Cyprinus carpio carpio, 111 nucleotides long. The record is from Ensembl. NCBI's taxonomy places the organism in Eukaryota, Metazoa, Chordata, Actinopteri, Cypriniformes, Cyprinidae.